UAGGGAAUAUUGGACAAUGGGCGCAAGCCUGAUCCAGCCAUGCCGCGUGAGUGAAGAAGGCCCUCGGGUUGUAAAGCUCUUUUGUCCGGAAAGAAAAGCAUCGGGUUAAUACCCCGGUGUUCUGACGGUACCGGAAGAAUAAGCACCGGCUAACUUCGUGCCAGCAGCCGCGGUAAUACGAAGGGUGCAAGCGUUACUCGGAAUUACUGGGCGUAAAGCGUGCGUAGGUGGUUCGUUAAGUCUGAUGUGAAAGCCCUGGGCUCAACCUGGGAAUGGCAUUGGAAACUGGCGGACUGGAGUGCGGUAGAGGGUAGCGGAAUUCCCGGUGUAGCAGUGAAAUGCGUAGAGAUCGGGAGGAACAUCCGUGGCGAAGGCGGCUACCUGAACCAGCACUGACACUGAGGCACGAAAGCGUGGGGAGCAAACA
This 427-nucleotide ribosomal RNA is filed under the name uncultured bacterium. RNAcentral's name for it is "bacterial SSU rRNA". It matches the Rfam family "Bacterial small subunit ribosomal RNA", at positions 355 to 774 of the family's 1533-position model. The record is from RNAcentral.